UACGUAGGGUGCAAGCGUUAAUCGGAAUUACUGGGCGUAAAGCGUGCGCAGGCGGUUUUGUAAGUCUGUCGUGAAAGCCCCGGGCUCAACCUGGGAAUUGCGAUGGAGACUGCAAGGCUUGAAUCUGGCAGAGGGGGGUAGAAUUCCACGUGUAGCAGUGAAAUGCGUAGAGAUGUGGAGGAACACCGAUGGCGAAGGCAGCCCCCUGGGCUGACACUGACGCUCAGGCACGAAAGCGUGGGGAGCAAACAGG
This 253-nucleotide ribosomal RNA is filed under the name uncultured bacterium. RNAcentral describes it as "partial 16S ribosomal RNA". It matches the Rfam family "Bacterial small subunit ribosomal RNA", at positions 524 to 776 of the family's 1533-position model. The record is from RNAcentral.